ACGGGGUCUGGCCCCGCCGGGUCCCCCCGCACAACCCCUCCGCUCCAGCAGGGGGCGAGAGCUGCCGUGACCGCCCCAGCGGCAGCCGCUCUCGGCGCCGCGACGCUUCCGGGCCGGGCCAAGGCCAUGGCGACGGGCGCCAGGAAGGCAGUGUACCCGCUGUUCCAGCUGGGCGGGCCGCAGCUGCGGAUCUUCCGGCCCAACUUCUACAUGCUGGCGGUGCGGCCCGGCGUGCCGCAGCCGGAGGACACAGUCCAGUUCCGCGUCUCCAUGGAAAUGACAAAAGUGGAUAUCAAGAAUUACCUUGAAAAAAUAUACAAUGUGCCGGUAGCUGCUGUGAGGACCAGGAUACAGUACGGCGCUAACAACAAGAGGAAUCACAAGAAUCAUAGAGUGAAGAAGCCGGAUUACAAGGUUGCCUACGUACAGCUGGGCCGAGGACAAACCUUUCAGUUUCCCAACCUAUUUCCAGAGAAAGAACAAGACACAGAAACUCGCUCUCUUGAAGACCUCAAGGAUAAAUAUAUGGAGAGAGAGGAGCAGAGGCAGAAAGGUGACCCCAGACGAGGUGGAGUCCCUGACUGGUUUGGACUUUGAUGCAACAAGCCAGCUGCCUUUCUUUAGGCUCAGAGGGAUUUUGAUCAGCAGAACUUGCACUCUUCCCUUCUUGUAAUGACUGAACGUUUAUUCUUGAGCAGCCCUUGCUAGCGUGUCUUUUUCCUGGCUGUUUGUGCUCGGCAACAACAAAAUGGCCCUAAAGAAAUAAAAAGGUAACUCCAUCUUCU
RNA transcript from Falco peregrinus (peregrine falcon), 785 nucleotides. It is a transcript of the gene named mitochondrial ribosomal protein L23, with no coding region annotated. NCBI's taxonomy places the organism in Eukaryota, Metazoa, Chordata, Aves, Falconiformes, Falconidae. The transcript is spliced from 6 exons. The record is from RefSeq and is a predicted model, not a curated record.